Molecule: ribosomal RNA, 567 nt
Filed under: Triticum aestivum (bread wheat)
Lineage: Eukaryota; Viridiplantae; Streptophyta; Magnoliopsida; Poales; Poaceae
Description: partial small subunit ribosomal RNA
Source: RNAcentral
GCUAUACUUCUUCCUACUAGCUACGGUGCAACACCACCAGAUCUUUAACAAGGUGGAAAUUCUCGUAUUUCGUACGUACAUGUUCUUGCGGCUCGGAUGAGUAUAGUUAUUUAUAUCGCGACAGCUAUAAACAGUUCCUUGUUCCCAUUAACAAAACAUCCCCUUUUUCUUUGCUCUUCCGGAACCGGUACAGAAAUUGGUGCUUUUUCUACUUUGUUUACGUUAGUGACUGGGGGGUUUCGGGGAAGGCCUAUGUGGGGUACCUUUCGGGUGUGGGAUGCUCGUUUAACUUCUGUAUUCAUCUUGUUCCUUAUUUACCUGGGUGCACUGCGUUUUCAAAAGCUUCCUGAUGAACUGGCUCCUAUUACAAUCCAUGUUGGACCGAUCGAUAAACCAAUAAUAAAUUCUCUAGUCAACCUGGGAGCAUUAGCCGAUCUGGUACAUCAAUACAUGUUCCUAUGCCCAUUCCAAUCUUGUCUAACUUUUCUAACUUCCCCUUCUCUACCCGUAUCUUGUUCGUUCUGGAAACACGUCUUCCUAUUCCAUCUUUUCCCGAAUCUCCCUUAA